Molecule: long non-coding RNA, 113 nt
Organism: Sander lucioperca (pikeperch)
Lineage: Eukaryota; Metazoa; Chordata; Actinopteri; Perciformes; Percidae
Exons: 3
Source: RefSeq, a predicted model, not a curated record
CCUGAAGGGGACACAGUCCCCCUGAACUAUAGGUCCCUGAAGGGCACCUAGUCCUCCGAACUAUAGGUCCCUGAAGGGCACCUAGUCCCCCGAACUAUAGGUCCCUGAAGGGC